UUUUGGGUUUCUUUUUGAAUUAGCUUACUUAACUUAGUUCUUUCUUGACAAUCUAGAGCAGAGUUGAAAGAGCAUGUGAAAAACCACAAAACUUCUCCAGCCCUUUUGUGUUCAAUUUGUGGUUGAGUAUUCAAAACCAGACAUCAGAUGAAUGGACAUCGCAAACAAAUCCAUUAGAAAACACAAAUUAACGAGAGGAAGAGAUGAAGGCUGAAGAUAAUCCCGUGUGGUCCAACACAAAAGCAACUGGAAAGAAGACUUCAAGUCAGAAGCCUUUCAAAUAUGAAAUCUGCCCUUACAACUCCAUUGAUGCAAGUGGUAAAGUGGCAGCAUUUACGAACACACACGAGUGAGAUGCCUUGUGAAUGUCGACUCUGUUCAUAAAGAUGGAUUCAGAAGACAAGGUUGGACCUUCUCAUGUACGCCGACAUCGCACUGGUAUAAAGGACAAAAAGCAGAUGGCGGUGGGAAUCUCUUGGCUUUCCUCUUUCCCUGCUUGCAGAACGCAUCCAUGCAAGACAGGAUGGUACCAGAAGGUGACACACGUUUUCCCUGGAAGGACUCCUACUGUGGCAAACUGACAGUAUCUGCUGUGGUUGCAUUAUGCUGCCUUCACAACUGAUGGGAAUCCCUCCUGGGACUGCAGGAACAAAGUCACUGGAAUAAUUGCCAGGUAGAGCCUUUUGAUUUUCAGUAUGAGGGCAUUUUUACAUCUGGCCUGAGAAAGUAUGUCAGUAGUCUUUCAAAAACUUUCAUUGAAAGCUUAUGUGCGUGUCCAAGGAGGCUCCUAGGGAAGCAUCCCCUAGACUUUGCUCCAGGGUACCCUCCGUGGGCAGAAGGCUACAGAAAAUUGUUUCAGCUGGUCACAAUGGUUGCGUGAGGACUUAUAUUGAAUAUAUUUCAGCAGGUGGCAAACACUGGGGCUGCAAGGUUGUAUAGGGUCUUAAAGCUGUUUGGUAGGCCAUGCACCACACUCUGCUGCUGUCUCUUUAGACAUUUUGUGGACUUGAAAAAGCCCAUUGGCUCGGAAAUUUGGAAUCAUUUCUCUGAAGCUGAAAUCAGUCAAUAGACUUCCACUUGAGUUCUUGUUUCCUCACGCCUUUACCCCCACAUUCAGGGACAGGAGCAAUGUUACCAUGACACAGUAGAUAUCUCACAAAAGUUACAAUUUAUCUUCUGCCAACUUGUUUUUGAGACUGGGAUCAAAUUAUAACACAAUUGUACAGGAUAGUAGCAGUGAUCACCAUUAGACCAUCUAAUCUUUUUUUUUUAAGAAGCCACAUAAUGCUGUUCUUCAAGGCUUUCUCCAUAAAUGCAAGGAGUGAAAGAGUUUAGUUCUAACUUGUGGUAUUUUUUUUACAAGUUUUAAGCUGGUCUUCAAAAGUGAUCCCUUUUCUCCCUGUUUUGAGUUAAUGAAUUUUAACUUCAAUACCACACAUAGUUCUGAUCACUCUCACCAAAGAAAGGUGAAUUGGAACUGGUAGAUGCAAAAUAGGGCAGUGAGAAAGAUCAGACGGACAAGGAUCCUGCUUUACAGUAGGAAAUUGAAGGGAAAGGUUUGUUUAACCUUGCAA
Anser brachyrhynchus (Pink-footed goose) is the source of this 1574-nucleotide long non-coding RNA. The record is from Ensembl. Lineage: Eukaryota; Metazoa; Chordata; Aves; Anseriformes; Anatidae.